RNAcentral lists this ribosomal RNA (597 nucleotides) under uncultured fungus. RNAcentral's name for it is "eukaryotic LSU rRNA". The stretch from base 228 to 382 matches the Rfam family "5.8S ribosomal RNA". The record is from RNAcentral. Lineage: Eukaryota; Fungi.
UGCGGGAAGGUCAUUACUAGAGCAAAGGAUAGACACUACCUUACCUCGGUAAGGUUUAGAGUCGUCGGGCCUCUCGGAGAAGCUCGGUCCUGAACUCCACCCUUGAAUAAAUUACCUUUGUUGCUUUGGCGGGCCGCUUCGGCUACCGGCUACGGCUGGUGAGUGCCCGCCAAAGGACCCCCCAAACUCUGAAUUAUAGUGUCGUCUGAGUACUAUAUAAUAGUUAAAACUUUCAACAACGGAUCUCUUGGUUCUGGCAUCGAUGAAGAACGCAGCGAAAUGCGAUAAGUAAUGUGAAUUGCAGAAUUCAGUGAAUCAUCGAAUCUUUGAACGCACAUUGCGCCCUCUGGUAUUCCGGGGGGCANUGCCUGUUCGAGCGUCAUUAUAACCACUCAAGCUCUCGCUUGGUAUUGGGGUUCGCGGUUUCGCGGCCCCUAAAAUCAGUGGCGGUGCCUGUCGGCUCUACGCGUAGUAAUACUCCUCGCGAUCGAGUCCAGUAGGUCUACUUGCCAGCAACCCCUAAUUGUCUUUUUAAGGUUGACCUCGGAUCAGGUAGGGAUACCCGCUGAACUUAAGCAUAUCAAUAAGGCGGAGGAA